This 492-nucleotide ribosomal RNA is filed under the name uncultured bacterium. RNAcentral's name for it is "partial 16S ribosomal RNA". It matches the Rfam family "Bacterial small subunit ribosomal RNA", at positions 29 to 507 of the family's 1533-position model. The record is from RNAcentral.
AGUGAACGCUGGCGGUAGGCCUAGCACAUGCAAGUCGAACGGCAGCACAGUAAGAGCUUGCUCUUACGGGUGGCGAGUGGCGGACGGGUGAGGAAUACAUCGGAAUCUACUUUUUCGUGGGGGAUAACGUAGGGAAACUUACGCUAAUACCGCAUACGACCUACGGGUGAAAGCAGGGGAUCUUCGGACCUUGCGCGAUUGAAUGAGCCGAUGUCGGAUUAGCUAGUUGGCGGGGUAAAGGCCCACCAAGGCGACGAUCCGUAGCUGGUCUGAGAGGAUGAGGAGCCACACUGGAGCUGAGAGGCGGUCCAGACUCAUACGGGAGGCAGCAGUGGGCAAGAUUGGACAAUGGGCGCAAGCCUGAUCCAGCCAUACCGCGUGGGUGAAGAAGGCCUUCGGGUUGUAAAGCCCUUUUGUUGGGGAAGAAAAGCAGCAGGAUAAUACCCCGCUGUUCUGACGGUACCCAAAGAAUAAGCAACGGCUAACUACGUG